RNAcentral lists this ribosomal RNA (470 nucleotides) under uncultured bacterium. Its description in RNAcentral is "bacterial SSU rRNA". It matches the Rfam family "Bacterial small subunit ribosomal RNA", at positions 915 to 1391 of the family's 1533-position model. The record is from RNAcentral.
GGGGACCCGCAAGCGGUGGAUGAUGUGGUUUAAUUCGAUGCAACGCGAAAAACCUUACCCACCUUUGACAUGUACGGAAUCCUUUAGAGAUAGAGGAGUGCUCGAAAGAGAGCCGUAACACAGGUGCUGCAUGGCUGUCGUCAGCUCGUGUCGUGAGAUGUUGGGUUAAGUCCCGCAACGAGCGCAACCCUUGCCAUUAGUUGCUACGAAAGGGCACUCUAAUGGGACUGCCGGUGACAAACCGGAGGAAGGUGGGGAUGACGUCAAGUCCUCAUGGCCCUUAUAGGUGGGGCUACACACGUCAUACAAUGGCUGGUACAGAGGGUUGCCAACCCGCGAGGGGGAGCUAAUCCCAUAAAGCCAGUCGUAGUCCGGAUCGCAGUCUGCAACUCGACUGCGUGAAGUCGGAAUCGCUAGUAAUCGCGGAUCAGAAUGUCGCGGUGAAUACGUUCCCGGGUCUUGUACACACC